RNAcentral lists this long non-coding RNA (710 nucleotides) under Hordeum vulgare. Its description in RNAcentral is "long non-coding RNA (HVUL_LNC017964)". Lineage: Eukaryota; Viridiplantae; Streptophyta; Magnoliopsida; Poales; Poaceae. The record is from RNAcentral.
GCCGGGCCUGCGGCCCUACUAGGCGGUGGGCGACGUGAAUUGCUGCUGCGUUUUGUGUGGAUAUCAAUGUCGGCGGUGGCAUGCAGGUGAGGGCACAUGGACAUGGGUGGGAGCAGCUGGCGAUCUGGGCCUGUGAUUAGUGGUUUGUGCACCUGCGCCUAAACUUGACCGGGAAUGCCCGUGUGUAAUUGUACCAGCAGCCGUUGCCAUCAUCAGCCAUGCAGCACUGCGACUGUGCAAGUGCAGGCGACGCUUGUCCUCUCGUGUAGAUCGAUCGAUUGUUCCUGUGGUUGGUGCAACUUUGAGGGGUCGUAGCAGGACUUGCGAGCGACGGAAAUAAUUGCUUGGGCAUUCGUAGACACCUAUGGCCACUGAAAAUAUAUAAUCUGCUGAGGACGCACCUCCUCUAGGGUAGUACGUUACGGCGAUCCGGAUCUGGCAGCACCGCCCUCACCAGGCUCAGUUACGCACGACGCGGGAUGCGGGCAGGCGACAAACUAAGAGGGUCCUCCAUACUUUUUAGUCCCAUGACUAAAAGUAAUGGGACUAAAACUUGCUAGCCUCAUCCAUGCUUGGAUCCAAGACUAAAUAGACUAAAAUCAAGUUAAUGAGCAUUUAUUAUCCUUCAAACCCUCCAAUCCAGAACUUGCAUGAGGAAUUAAAUGAGGAGAGAGAGGAUUAAUGCACAUUUUAGUAGGGGUACCCUUGAC